This 73-nucleotide transfer RNA is filed under the name Verrucomicrobiales bacterium. Its description in RNAcentral is "tRNA-Phe". It matches the Rfam family "tRNA". Rfam says of the family: Transfer RNA (tRNA) molecules are approximately 80 nucleotides in length. Their secondary structure includes four short double-helical elements and three loops (D, anti-codon, and T loops). Further hydrogen bonds mediate the characteristic L-shaped molecular structure. tRNAs have two regions of fundamental functional importance: the anti-codon, which is responsible for specific mRNA codon recognition, and the 3' end, to which the tRNAs corresponding amino acid is attached (by aminoacyl-tRNA synthetases). tRNAs cope with the degeneracy of the genetic code in two manners: having more than one tRNA (with a specific anti-codon) for a particular amino acid; and 'wobble' base-pairing, i.e. permitting non-standard base-pairing at the 3rd anti-codon position. Lineage: Bacteria; Pseudomonadati; Verrucomicrobiota; Verrucomicrobiia; Verrucomicrobiales. The record is from RNAcentral.
GGCUCGGUAGCUCAGUUGGUAGAGCAGAGGACUGAAAAUCCUUGUGUCGNCNGUUCGAUUCNGUCCCGAGCCA